UUGGAGGGCAAGUCUGGUGCCAGCAGCCGCGGUAAUCCCAGCUCAAUAGCGUAUAUUAAAGUUGUUGCAGUUAAAAAGCUCGUAGUUGAAUUUCGAGAUCAAAUUGUUGGUCGUGCCUUGGUACGUACUGGCAUUAUUGAUUUCUCCCUUCUGAAGAACCACGAUGUCAUUAAUUUGGUGUCAUGGGGAAUCAGGACUGUUACUUUGAAAAAAUUAGAGUGUUUAAAGCAGGCUAACGCUUGAAUACAUUAGCAUGGAAUAAUGAAAUAGGACGUUUGAUUCUAUUUUGUUGGUUUCUAGGAUCGACGUAAUGAUUAAUAGGGAUAGUUGGGGGCAUUAGUAUUCAAUUGUCAGAGGUGAAAUUCUUGGAUUUAUUGAAGACUAACUACUGCGAAAGCAUUUGCCAAGGAUGUUUUCAUUAAUCAAGAACGAAAGUUAGGGGAUCGAAGACGAUCAGAUACCGUCGUAGUCUUAACCAUAAACUAUGCCGACUAGGGAUCGGAUGAUGUUAAUUUUUUAAUGACUCAUUCGGCGCCUUACGGGAAAC
RNAcentral lists this ribosomal RNA (547 nucleotides) under uncultured Glomeraceae. RNAcentral's name for it is "SSU rRNA". It matches the Rfam family "Eukaryotic small subunit ribosomal RNA", at positions 548 to 1098 of the family's 1831-position model. The record is from RNAcentral. Lineage: Eukaryota; Fungi; Glomeromycota; Glomeromycetes; Glomerales; Glomeraceae.